RNAcentral lists this ribosomal RNA (393 nucleotides) under uncultured bacterium. RNAcentral describes it as "bacterial SSU rRNA". It matches the Rfam family "Bacterial small subunit ribosomal RNA", at positions 28 to 421 of the family's 1533-position model. The record is from RNAcentral.
GACGAACGCUGGCGGCGUGCUUAACACAUGCAAGUCGAGCGGUAAGGCCCCUUCGGGGGUACGACGAGCGGCGAACGGGUGAGUAACACGUGGGUGACCUGCCCUCAGCUCUGGGAUAAGCCUGGGAAACCGGGUCUAAUACCGGAUAUGACUCCAUGACGCAUGUUGUGGGGUGGAAAGCCUUGUGCGGCUGAGGAUGGGCCCGCGGCCUAUCAGCUUGUUGGUGGGGUGAUGGCCUACCAAGGCGACGACGGGUAGCCGGCCUGAGAGGGCGACCGGCCACACUGGGACUGAGACACGGCCCAGACUCCUACGGGAGGCAGCAGUGGGGAAUCUUGCGCAAUGGGCGAAAGCCUGACGCAGCGACGCCGCGUGAGGGAUGACGGCCUGUGU